RNAcentral lists this ribosomal RNA (1332 nucleotides) under Triticum aestivum (bread wheat). RNAcentral describes it as "partial small subunit ribosomal RNA". Lineage: Eukaryota; Viridiplantae; Streptophyta; Magnoliopsida; Poales; Poaceae. The record is from RNAcentral.
AUGUUGCCCAGACAAAUAUGGAGGCUUGUACAGUGUCCAGAGUCCCUAUGUGCCAGAAUUUUACAGGCCCGUUAUUUCCGUGAUGGCCAACUACUUGAUGCAAAACCAAGGGAUGGCAUUUCAUAUGUGUGGAGAAGCUUGCUGCAUGACCUACAACUCUUCCGGGAGGGCUAUAUUUGAAGGAUUGGGGAUGGCACGAGGGUGAACAUCUGGUCCGAUCCAUGGCUUCCCCGACCUUGGUCUAGGGGGGUCAUCACUCCCCGCGGGCAUAGCUUGCUGGAAUGGGUUAGCGAUAUAAUAGAUCCUGGUACUGGGACAUGGGAUGAGCAACUCGUGAGGGAGAGCUUCUAGGCGGAUGACGUGAAGCACAUACUUCAAAUUCCCCUAAGAGAAGGUGUCCAGGAUGUUAUAGCGUGGUAGUAUGACAGCAAGGGUGUCCACUCAGUAAAGAGUGCCUACAAGCUCCAUGUCCAAAUUGAUAAGAUUAAGAAGGAUGGGGGAACGGGAGGGAGCUCACAUGAUCCUGGCAACUUGGAUAGCAUCAAUGAUGACUCGUGGAAACGUUUGUGGAAGCUGCCAUGCCCUCGUAAUAUUCAGAUGUUUGCAUGGAUACUGAAGCACAAAUAUCUAGCCUUACGCACAAAUGUGGCGAGAAAGGGAAUCCCCAUAGAGGAUACCAAAUGUCUCUUAUGUGGAAGGGCUGACGAGGAUGGAGCACACCUGUUUAUCAAAUAUAAAGCAGCUAAAGUGGUGUGGAGGGAACUAGCUCUGGAGCGGGAACGUCUCCAACUAGAGCGCAUUGGGUCUGUGCAUGCAAUGUUCGAUUAUCUCUGGGGUCUAUAUGUGAAAAAGAGGCUGCAUAUUCUUACCUUCUGGUGGCAGUGGUGGUCCAACAGAAACAAGCUACGAGAAGGGGAGAUGCCGCUGACGGCCUAUGAUGUGGCUCGUUGUACGAGGAGUAACGUGCUGGAGUACUUGGAGAUCUUCUGCAAGCCUCCUAAUACCCCCAAACCUGACAAGUGGAGGCCCCCGGGGGAAGAUGAGUACAAGAUCAAUGCGGACGGGUCCUUUAUACAGGGCCAACAACACGCAGCAUGGGGUGUCGUCGUUAGAACUGCUGAUGGCAGCCUUGUUUGCGCCCGCGCGGGGAGACAGGAGCACAUCAACGAUGCCUUUGCAGCGGAGGUGAUGGCCACGUCACACGUUAUCCAUACCGCUGUAGACCUUGGGAUCGUUCGUGUGGAGCUGGAAACUGACUCGCAGUUGGUGGCAGAGGUGCUAGACAUUCAAAGGUGGAUUCCUCGGCAUAUGCGGCGGUCAUCGAGGACAUGA